CUAUAUAUAUAUAUUUUUUUUUCGUUAUAGAUAUUUAAUGAUUAAUGAUUGAACAUUUCAGGAAUCCAGUGCCAAAGUUGCCAACUUACCUGAAAAAGAAAAACAGAAACAUACUAAAAAGAAAAACAUCUGCUACAGUAGUUGUGCUCGGCUCCUUGGUUUGAAUGAAGAUAUUGAGGAUGGUUCUAAAGACCCUGCCGCAUCCAGAGGAGCGUAUGUGUCUCUCCUUUAUUUGCGCCAUCUCCGGAUCAGAGAGCUAAAGCGUACCUGUUUGAGCAUGCUGAACUAUCUGCGCUCUGUGGAGAAAAGGCUGGCUGUGGAUACUGCAGGACUUCAGGUGUUGGGGGGUGUACAGGAGAGUAGUGUGGAGGAAAGCACCUGGAUGAGUGCAGCUCGAGGAGGCCGUGGGUCUGCAGGAGGCCUUGGUUCACAUCACUACAUCUAUGACACCCCUGCUGAUUACAAGGUACAUUGCACAGAGUUCAUGGAGUUCCCUGAGGUGGAGAAUCUCAGUGAUUACUACAGCACUGAGGGUCAAUAUAUCCACGUCCAGGAUCAAAGGGGCCUUUACAUUGUGUAUGACACUGCUCUAAUGGACCUAAAGGAGCUUGAAAACACAAUGCUGCUUAUAGCAUCACAUUACAUCAGCAGAUGCAGAGAGAAUUCCAGUAGAGAACUAAAAUCUGAACAGGACGUGGAUCGAGUGGCUGUUCUGCUGGACAUCUGGACAUGUGAGACUGCAUUCCUGGAGCAUAAAAUAGAGGUACUGUUAAAGAAAGUAUUUCAAAAAAGGUUGCAUAUACAGGAUAAUCAAAAUGUUUACCUUGCCCUUGUUGAUAUUCUUUUUACAGCUCUUGAAUUGCUACUUUGAAGCUUACCACCACAUCAUAGACCCAGAAGAGCGAUUUAGUUUGGCUCAAGUAAUUACAGAUAUAAUGCACAGAAGACCUCGUCUGAAUUUGGAAACAGAGUAUUUUGUUCAAGCCUACAGGCAGGAGGUGGCCUGUCUGCAGAGCCACCAGCAACUUAUCAAACUAGUUCUAAAUUCUCAGGUAAUUGUUUAUUUUAUUUUUUGCUGAUAGUAGCCAUAAUAGCUGUGGCAGUUGUGUAAAUCUGUAACCAUGUUUCCUUUUGUUAGAUUGAUAAGCAGCGUGAGUACCUUGACCGGAUAUGGAGAGGGGAGAGGAGGAGGAGCUGUCCAGAUGAAUAUGGUUUUCCUUUAAGUUUUGUCCCGAAACAACUGGUGUCAGUAGGUGGAAGUAGGUAAGCAUUAGGAUAAUAUAUGGAGAACACUCUGAACGCCAUGUAGUCCU
This 1313-nucleotide long non-coding RNA is filed under the name Astyanax mexicanus (Mexican tetra). RNAcentral's name for it is "lncRNA (ENSAMXG00005025175.1)". The record is from RNAcentral. Lineage: Eukaryota; Metazoa; Chordata; Actinopteri; Characiformes; Acestrorhamphidae.